This 382-nucleotide ribosomal RNA is filed under the name uncultured bacterium. RNAcentral's name for it is "bacterial SSU rRNA". It matches the Rfam family "Bacterial small subunit ribosomal RNA", at positions 28 to 408 of the family's 1533-position model. The record is from RNAcentral.
GACGAACGCUGGCGGCGUGCUUAAUACAUGCAAGUCGACUUGCUUUUGAUUAGCAAUAGUCAAAAGAGAGUGGCGCACGGGUGAGUAACACGUAGAUAAUCUACCCUCAGGACUGACAUAAUGUAGAGAAAUCUGCACUAAUAUCAGAUGAAACAAAAUCCUGGCAUCAGAGAUUUUGUCAAAGUUUUAACGCCUGAAGAUGAGUCUGCGGUCCAUUAGGUAGUUGGCGGUUUAACAGACCACCAAGCCGACGAUGGAUAGCUGGUCUGAGAGGAUGAUCAGCCACACUGGAACUGAGACACGGUCCAGACUCCUACGGGAGCAGCAGUAAGGAAUAUUGCUCAAUGGGAGAAAUCCUGAAGCAGCAACGCCGCGUGGAGGA